UCAAGUGACUAAGUGCAUGUGGCGGAUGCCUUGGCGAUCACAGGCGAAGAAAGACGCGGCAGCCUGCGAAAAGCUGCGGGGAGCUGGCAAACGAGCUUUGAUCCGCAGAUAUCUGAAUGGGGGAACCCACACCGCAAGGUGUAUCCGUAGCUGAAUACAUAGGUUACGGAGGCGAACGAGGAGAACUGAAACAUCUAAGUAUCCUCAGGAAAAGAAAUCAACCGAGAUUCCGGCAGUAGCGGCGAGCGAACCCGGAGGAGCCUAGCUUUUGAUAGUACGAACUUUAGCCGAAAGGUCCUGGAAAGGCCUGCUAUAGUGGGUGAUAGCCCCGUAGGCGAAAGAGUUGGUACGGUACUAAGGAAGCGAGAAGUAGAGCGGGACACGUGGAAUCCUGUUCGAAGACGGGGGGACCAUCCUCCAAGGCUAAAUACUCGUGAUCGACCGAUAGUGAACCAGUACCGUGAGGGAAAGGCGAAAAGAACCCCGGGAGGGGAGUGAAAUAGAACCUGAAACCGCAUGCAUACAAACAGUAGGAGCCUCGUCAGAGGUGACUGCGUACCUUUUGCAUAAUGGGUCAGCGACUUACAUUCUGUGGCGAGCUUAACCGAAUAGGGGAGGCGCAGCGAAAGCGAGUUCGAAAUGAGCGUUCAGUCGCAGGGUGUAGACCCGAAACCAGAUGAGCUAUCCAUGGCCAGGUUGAAGGUGUGGUAACACACACUGGAGGACCGAACCGACUAGUGUUGCAAAAUUAGCGGAUGAGCUGUGGAUAGGGGUGAAAGGCCAAACAAAUCUGGAGAUAGCUGGUUCUCCCCGAAAACUAUUGAGGUAGUGCCUCGUGUGUCGCUCCAGGGGGUAGAGCACUGUUUUGGCUAGGGGGACAUGGAGUCUUACCAAACCAAGGCAAACUCCGAAUACCUGGAAGCGUAAGCACGGGAGACAGAGCACCGGGUGCUAACGUCCGGACUCAAAAGGGAAACAACCCAGACCGCCGGCUAAGGUCCCCAAUAACAGCUAAGUGGAAAACGAAGUGGAAAGGCCGUGACAACCAGGAAGUUGGCUUAGAAGCAGCCAUCCUUCAAAGAAAGCGUAAUAGCUCACUGGUCGAGUCCUUCUGCGCGGAAGAUGUAACGGGGCUAAGCUGUUAACCGAAGCCGCGGAUGCACUGGUUAUCCAGUGCGUGGUAGGGGAGCGUUCUGUAAGUCUGCGAAGGCGGUUCGAGAGGACUGCUGGAGAUAUCAGAAGUGCGAAUGCUGACAUGAGUAACGUUAAAGCAGGUGAAAAGCCUGCUCGCCGUAAGCCCAAGGAUUCCUGCUCUACGUUCAUCGGAGCAGGGUGAGUCGGCUCCUAAGGUCAGGCCGAAAGGCGUAGCCGAUGGGAAUCAGGUUAAUAUUCCUGAACCUGCGUCAGAUGCGAUGGGGGGACGGAGCAUGGAAGAUCAUCCGGGUGUUGGAAGUCCCGGUUGUUGAGCGUAGGAGGUCUGCAGGCAAAUCCGCAGACGCAUCUCCAAGGCAAAGACACGUGCCGCUACGGCGGCGAAGUGAUCGGAAGUGCUUCCAAGAAAAGCCUCUAAGCACCAGUCUGAUGCGGACCGUACCGCAAACCGACACUGGUGGGCGAGCUGAAUAUGCUCAGGCGCUUGAGAGAACUCGGGAGAAGGAACUCGGCAAAUUGACACCGUAACUUCGGAAGAAGGUGUGCCGUAGUACCGUGAGAGGAGAGACACCUUGAGCGGGAAACGGUCUCAGAGAAUAGGUGGCUGCGACUGUUUAUUAAAAACACAGCACUCUGCAAAGUCGAAAGACGACGUAUAGGGUGUGAUGCCUGCCCGGUGCUGGAAGAUUAAUUGAUGGGGUGAGAGCCCUUGAUCGAAGUCCCAGUAAACGGCGGCCGUAACUAUAACGGUCCUAAGGUAGCGAAAUUCCUUGUCGGGUAAG
RNAcentral lists this ribosomal RNA (1934 nucleotides) under human gut metagenome. RNAcentral describes it as "bacterial LSU rRNA". It matches the Rfam family "Bacterial large subunit ribosomal RNA", at positions 3 to 1980 of the family's 2925-position model. The record is from RNAcentral.